CCUACGGGAGGCAGCAGUGGGGGAUAUUGCACAAUGGGGGGAACCCUGAUGCAGCGACGCCGCGUGGGUGAAGAAGCGCCUCGGCGCGUAAAGCCCUGUCAGCAGGGAAGAAAAUGACGGUACCUGAAGAAGAAGCCCCGGCUAACUACGUGCCAGCAGCCGCGGGAAUACGUAGGGGGCAAGCGUUAUCCGGAUUUACUGGGUAUAAAGGGGGCGCAGACGGCGAUGCAAGCCAGGAGUGAAAGCCCGGGGCCCAACCCCGGGACUGCUCUUGGAACUGCGUGGCUGGAGUGCAGGAGGGGCAGGCGGAAUUCCUGGUGUAGCGGUGAAAUGCGUAGAUAUCAGGAGGAACACCGGUGGCGAAGGCGGCCUGCUGGACUGCAACUGACGUUGAGGCCCGAAAGCGUGGGGAGCAAACAGGAUUAGAUACCCGGGUAGUC
Molecule: ribosomal RNA, 440 nt
Filed under: uncultured bacterium
Lineage: Bacteria
Description: partial 16S ribosomal RNA
Rfam family: Bacterial small subunit ribosomal RNA
Source: RNAcentral